Molecule: ribosomal RNA, 252 nt
Filed under: uncultured bacterium
Lineage: Bacteria
Description: partial 16S ribosomal RNA
Rfam family: Bacterial small subunit ribosomal RNA
Source: RNAcentral
UACGAAGGGGGCUAGCGUUGCUCGGAAUCACUGGGCGUAAAGGGUGCGUAGGCGGGUUUUUAAGUCAGGGGUGAAUCCUGGAGCUCAACUCCAGAACUGCCUUUGAUACUGAAGAUCUUGAGUCCGGGAGAGGUGAGUGGAACUGCGAGUGUAGAGGUGAAAUUCGUAGAUAUUCGCAAGAACACCAGUGGCGAAGGCGGCUCACUGGCCCGGUACUGACGCUGAGGCACGAAAGCGUGGGAGCAAACAGGG